UACGUAGGGGGCUAGCGUUGUCCGGAAUCAUUGGGCGUAAAGAGCGUGUAGGCGGCCCGGUAAGUCCGCUGUAAAAGUCAAAGGCUCAACCUUUGAAUGUCAGUGGAUACUGCCGGGCUAGAGUCCGGAAGAGGCGAGUGGAACUCCUGGUGUAGCGGUGGAAUGCGCAGAUAUCAGGAAGAACACCAACGGCGAAGGCAGCUCGCUGGGACGGUACUGACGCUGAGGAGCGAAAGCGUGGGUAGCAAACAGG
RNAcentral lists this ribosomal RNA (253 nucleotides) under uncultured bacterium. RNAcentral's name for it is "partial 16S ribosomal RNA". It matches the Rfam family "Bacterial small subunit ribosomal RNA", at positions 524 to 776 of the family's 1533-position model. The record is from RNAcentral.